RNAcentral lists this unclassified non-coding RNA (203 nucleotides) under Thelephoraceae sp. 'Taylor #2'. RNAcentral's name for it is "ITS1". Lineage: Eukaryota; Fungi; Basidiomycota; Agaricomycetes; Thelephorales; Thelephoraceae. The record is from RNAcentral.
ACCGAAUUGUCAACACGAGUUGUUGCUGGUCCUCAAAUGGGGGCAUGUGCACACUCUGUUUGCACAUCCACUCACACCUGUGCACCCUCCAUAGUUCUGCAGCCUGGGGGCUCUGUCCCCCCUGCUGUGGCUCUAUGUAUUUACACACACACACUGUGAUAAAGUCUUAUGGAAUGUAUGCCGCGUUUAACGCAAUACAAUAC